This 111-nucleotide non-coding RNA is filed under the name Priestia megaterium. RNAcentral describes it as "Bacillus megaterium SAM-I sequence". It matches the Rfam family "SAM riboswitch aptamer (S box leader)". From Rfam's summary of the family: The SAM riboswitch is found upstream of a number of genes which code for proteins involved in methionine or cysteine biosynthesis in Gram-positive bacteria. Lineage: Bacteria; Bacillati; Bacillota; Bacilli; Caryophanales; Bacillaceae. RNAcentral also lists the same sequence under 1 other name. The record is from RNAcentral.
CUCUUAUUGAGAGAGGCGGAGGGACUGGCCCUGUGAAGCCCGGCAACCAUUUAACAUUCUUGUUGAAAAGGUGCUACAUCCUGCAAAGCGUACAGCUUUGAAAAAUAAGAG